AGGAGCAGCAGCAGCAGGAGCAGCAGCAGCAGGAGCAAGCAGCAGCAGGAGCAGCAGCAGCAGGAGCAGCGCCCUGAGAUCACAGCCCCACCUGGCCAGGGGGAAUUCAGUUUAACCUCAGCACACAACCCUAGACGGAGAGUGAGGAUUGAGCAUCGCGGAGUGAAAACGGCCUCAGAGAAGACCCGCUGCGAACCACCUUCUGUGUCACCAUCCUAGAGAGGUGAAGGAGAGGACAAAGCACUGGAUUUAAGGUGUUGUAAACAUCAACUGAUUGACUUCAGCCAUGCCAUCCCUGUGCCUCAGUUUCCACGUGUGGGGAAGGACGGCUAGUUCUCUGACUCACGGCCGUCAAAGCCCCAGCAAAAUGAUUUUGCAGCCUUCUGGACACACCUUAUCUCAAUGGUCUUCUGGAUCUGUACUUCGCUGACAUGCUUAGGAAUUCGCUCCUGCUCCUGCUCCACAGCAAACAACGGAGCCUCGCUCAGUUUCUAGCUGAGUCCAGAAACCCUGGAUCACUGAGUUAGCCUCCUGCCAGCUCUAGAAUGGCCACACUAGCACCAGCCCUGUUCGUCAUCCUGAUCCACCUGAUGCGCCGUAUGGAUACGGGUGCUGCGGAAGAAUGAAACUACUGAAGUGAGCUGCUCUAUCUUACAAGGUUGUCAGAAAGAAACGCUCUCUGACUUUGUCUGGAGGAGCCUGCAGUUGGGUGUUGUAAAAAAAAACGCUUAAAUGGCACCCGAUGCAGAGUUUGACUUGAUAACCAUACCGGAAGUUUCAUAGGUGAGAACCGUUUGGCUCAGCCAGCGAGGCGGACUUCUAGGCUAUGCUACUUCUCAAAACUGAGAUGUGCAUUUAAGGAAUGAUGAAGAGAACACUCCCACCAACUUCUGCACAGUCACAGUCUUACUUCGACUACAAAUAACCCAGAAUUUAAGAAGCACUGACCUGUCCAAGUGAGGUAAAUGCAAAUGAAAGAACUUGCAACUUACUCUGGGAUCAAAAUUACUCCUGCCCUGCAUAAGAAGGAACACCAAGGGGAUCGUGAUGUCAUCUGUAUUCUUUCCAUCACCAGCCAUCUGGAAAAGCGGAGCAGUAUCACUACUGCUCCCCUCAUUGUCAUCUAGCCAACAGAAAUGAUCAUGUGAAUGCACUUUAUUACGGGAACACCCCUUAUCACCUCCUACAGGUCCAUUCCAAACUGUGCUGGCCCAGCAGUCAAUACUACUCUGCCAAAAUAUGGAUGGGAAACAAUUUGAACUGCCCGAGGUGGUAACUGCUGUUCUUUCUGCUGCUGACUGGAGAGCUCAAUCAUUUCCUGCAUAAACCUCAAGCCGUCUUCAGCAUCCAUUGAACUUGCAGCCUGUGGAAAGAGGGGCUCAUUUUAUACUUUUUUCUCAUAGACUCUUUCAAAGCUGUGUUCUUGAGUGAAAAGGUCACCAAUCUAAAGGAACUGCUGGCUCUGGCGGAAAAGGCUCUGCUCUAUAUUUACCUAUUUCAUGAAUGCUAAUGAAGAUUUGCAGCAUGACUGACUACGAAUUAUCUGCAAAAAUGAUCAAUAGAGACCAUUUCUAACCUUAUCUAGGGACCAUCCUUGAAAAUACAUAUUUUCUAACUUAAAAAUUAAAGUUCCAUCUUACACUCUG
This is a long non-coding RNA of Ornithorhynchus anatinus (platypus), 1646 nucleotides long. RefSeq lists it as uncharacterized. The transcript is spliced from 13 exons. The record is from RefSeq and is a predicted model, not a curated record. Lineage: Eukaryota; Metazoa; Chordata; Mammalia; Monotremata; Ornithorhynchidae.